This 504-nucleotide ribosomal RNA is filed under the name Triticum aestivum (bread wheat). Its description in RNAcentral is "partial small subunit ribosomal RNA". Lineage: Eukaryota; Viridiplantae; Streptophyta; Magnoliopsida; Poales; Poaceae. The record is from RNAcentral.
AUGGACCUGUCUCUGGCCUUAGGUCGCCCGGCAACCGGCGGCAGUGGGGCGGCCGGCCGGCGAGCAUACAGCUGCGGGCUGGCCGAUGAUGAGGCGCGGCCGUUGUUCCCGUGCCUCUUUUGCGACAGGAAAUUCCUCAAGCCGCAGGCCCUCGGUGGCCACCAGAACGCGCACAGGGAGGAGCGCGCGGCUGGCUGGAACCCCUACGUCUACGGCCGCCCACCCGCUGACAGUGCCGCCUCGUCUCGCGCCUCCGCCACCGACAACUUCAACCCUAUCGCCACGCACGGUGGUGGCGGGGGCGCCGCCCCACCGCCCCUCCAUGUCGUUCUUGAGGCUGGCACGCUGGCUCCGUCGGCCCACGGCGUGCGAGUGGCAGCCGGCCCGUUCUCCGGCGUCCACGACGAUGUGGGGGACAUGCUAAGCUCAGGAAGGUCACCGGCCGCUGAGCCGGCAUUGGAGAGCAACACCGGCGUAGGGAUCAACCUGGAGCUGCGACUCUAG